RNAcentral lists this small RNA (487 nucleotides) under Histoplasma capsulatum var. duboisii H88. Its description in RNAcentral is "Histoplasma capsulatum H88 hypothetical RNA". The record is from RNAcentral. Lineage: Eukaryota; Fungi; Ascomycota; Eurotiomycetes; Onygenales; Ajellomycetaceae.
GACGGCGAGAAAACCUUUGAAACUCAUUUGUAUUCGUGAUGACCCCUCCACCCGAGUCGCUGUCCUCUUCAGGGGUAUAUGAAGAGUUGGGUAUAGUUCAGUAACCCAGGAUUCUCCGCAGUGAGGGCUCCACGGGAGUAGCUGGUCCGGCGCUGGUCAUCCCUCUCUAGGUCCUUCCUCUCGGCUUUACGACCAUGUUUAUGUCUGCUACUGGAGCAAAUCGGCGAUAUCACCGUGUCCUCAAGUGCUACCAAAAGGGCUGCAUCAGUACCUACGAAUAGAGAUCUCCGGAUAUCCAAAAAUAUAAUGGUGAGAUUCGCCAAUUCGAUGCCCUCGCAACCGGAGAGAGUGAUCAAAACUUCAAAAAAAGAAAAUCUAGCCUGGUUUCUCUUAUGUAUUCCUUAUACACACCCUAUAUUAACAGUCAUCAUGCAUAUCCAAUCAUAACCCCUUCAUGCUUGUAGCCCACAUAACCCAAGAAACCCUA